CCUACGGGUGGCUGCAGUGGGGAAUAUUGGACAAUGGGCGAAAGCCUGAUCCAGCCAUGCCGCGUGUGUGAAGAAGGCCUUCGGGUUGUAAAGCACUUUCAGUGGGGAAGAAAGCCUUGGGGCUAAUACCCUCGAGGAAGGACAUCACCCACAGAAGAAGCACCGGCUAACUCCGUGCCAGCAGCCGCGGUAAUACGGAGGGCGCGAGCGUUAAUCGGAAUUACUGGGCGUAAAGCGCACGUAGGCGGUCUGAUAAGCCGGUUGUGAAAGCCCCGGGCUCAACCUGGGAACGGCAUCCGGAACUGUCAGGCUAGAGUGCAGGAGAGGAAGGUAGAAUUCCCGGUGUAGCGGUGAAAUGCGUAGAGAUCGGGAGGAAUACCAGUGGCGAAGGCGGCCUUCUGGACUGACACUGACGCUGAGGUGCGAAAGCGUGGGUAGCAAACAGGAUUAGAUACCCCUGUAGUC
This 465-nucleotide ribosomal RNA is filed under the name Vreelandella stevensii. Its description in RNAcentral is "partial 16S ribosomal RNA". It matches the Rfam family "Bacterial small subunit ribosomal RNA", at positions 338 to 795 of the family's 1533-position model. The record is from RNAcentral. Lineage: Bacteria; Pseudomonadati; Pseudomonadota; Gammaproteobacteria; Oceanospirillales; Halomonadaceae.